This 216-nucleotide ribosomal RNA is filed under the name uncultured bacterium. Its description in RNAcentral is "partial 16S ribosomal RNA". It matches the Rfam family "Bacterial small subunit ribosomal RNA", at positions 118 to 351 of the family's 1533-position model. The record is from RNAcentral.
UGGGAACCUUCCCUAUGGUUCGGGAUAGCUCAGGGAAACUUGGGGUAAUACCGGAUAAGCCCUUCGGGGGAAAGAUUUAUCGCCAUUGGAUGGGCCCGCGUCGGAUUAGCUAGUUGGUGAGGUAACGGCUCACCAAGGCAACGAUCCGUAGCUGGUCUGAGAGGAUGAUCAGCCACACUGGGACUGAGACACGGCCCAGACUCCUACGGGAGGCAG